RNAcentral lists this ribosomal RNA (745 nucleotides) under uncultured bacterium. Its description in RNAcentral is "bacterial SSU rRNA". It matches the Rfam family "Bacterial small subunit ribosomal RNA", at positions 94 to 823 of the family's 1533-position model. The record is from RNAcentral.
AGCGGCGGAUGGGUGAGUAACACGUGGGGAACCUGCCCCUAAGUCUGGGAUACCAUUUGGAAACAGGUGCUAAUACCGGAUAAUAAAGCAGAUCGCAUGAUCAGCUUUUGAAAGGCGGCGUAAGCUGUCGCUAAGGGAUGGCCCCGCGGUGCAUUAGCUAGUUGGUAAGGUAACGGCUUACCAAGGCGACGAAGCAUAGCCGAGUUGAGAGACUGAUCGGCCACAUUGGGACUGAGACACGGCCCAAACUCCUACGGGAGGCAGCAGUAGGGAAUCUUCCACAAUGGACGCAAGUCUGAUGGAGCAACGCCGCGUGAGUGAAGAAGGUUUUCGGAUCGUAAAGCUCUGUUGUUGGUGAAGAAGGAUAGAGGUAGUAACUGGCCUUUAUUUGACGGUAAUCAACCAGAAAGUCACGGCUAACUACGUGCCAGCAGCCGCGGUAAUACGUAGGUGGCAAGCGUUGUCCGGAUUUAUUGGGCGUAAAGCGAGCGCAGGCGGAAAAAUAAGUCUAAUGUGAAAGCCCUCGGCUUAACCGAGGAACUGCAUCGGAAACUGUUUUUCUUGAGUGCAGAAGAGGAGAGUGGAACUCCAUGUGUAGCGGUGGAAUGCGUAGAUAUAUGGAAGAACACCAGUGGCGAAAGGCGGCUCUCUGGUCUGCAACUGACGCUGAGGCUCGAAAGCAUGGGUAGCGAACAGGAUUAGAUACCCUGGUAGUCCAUGCCGUAAAACGAUGAGUGCUAAGUGU